CCUACGGGUGGCAGCAGUGAGGAAUAUUGGUCAAUGGACGAGAGUCUGAACCAGCCAAGUAGCGUGAAGGAUGACUGCCCUAUGGGUUGUAAACUUCUUUUAUAUGGGAAUAAAACGUUCCACGUGUGGGAUUUUGUAUGUACCAUAUGAAUAAGGAUCGGCUAACUCCGUGCCAGCAGCCGCGGUAAUACGGAGGAUCCGAGCGUUAUCCGGAUUUAUUGGGUUUAAAGGGAGCGUAGGUGGAUUGUUAAGUCAGUUGUGAAAGUUUGCGGCUCAACCGUAAAAUUGCAGUUGAAACUGGCAGUCUUGAGUACAGUAGAGGUGGGCGGAAUUUGUGGUGUAGCGGUGAAAUGCUUAGAUAUCACGAAGAACUCCGAUUGCGAAGGCAGUUCACUGGACUGCAACUGACACUGAGGCUCGAAAGUGUGGGUAUCAAACAGGAUUAGAUACCCUAGUAGUC
RNAcentral lists this ribosomal RNA (460 nucleotides) under uncultured bacterium. RNAcentral describes it as "partial 16S ribosomal RNA". It matches the Rfam family "Bacterial small subunit ribosomal RNA", at positions 338 to 795 of the family's 1533-position model. The record is from RNAcentral.